Non-coding RNA from Zootermopsis nevadensis, 73 nucleotides. Lineage: Eukaryota; Metazoa; Arthropoda; Insecta; Blattodea; Termopsidae. The record is from Rfam.
GCCACGGUGGUCUAGCGGUUAGAACGCUGGCCUUGUAAUCCUGGGGUCUCGGGUUCGAUUCCAGGCGGUGCCC